GACGAACGCUGGCGGCGUGCUUAACACAUGCAAGUCGAACGGAAAGGCCCUGCUUUUGUGGGGUGCUCGAGUGGCGAACGGGUGAGUAACACGUGAGUAACCUGCCCUUGACUUUGGGAUAACUUCAGGAAACUGGGGCUAAUACCGGAUAGGAGCUCCUGCUGCAUGGUGGGGGUUGGAAAGUUUCGGCGGUUGGGGAUGGACUCGCGGCUUAUCAGCUUGUUGGUGGGGUAGUGGCUUACCAAGGCUUUGACGGGUAGCCGGCCUGAGAGGGUGACCGGGCGACUGGGACGCGGGACAGCCAGCAGACGCGGUGGGGAGGCAGGGGGGGGGAAAAGUAAGCGAGGGGCGGAAGCAGGAGGCAGCGACGCCGGGUGUGGGACACCUGGCUGGGGGUUGUACGCCACUUCCCCCGGUGACGAAGCGUGGGGCAGGGUAAGAAAAAAAAGACAACCUGAAAACACCGGGCCAGCCGCUGCGGUAAAGAGGAAAGCCCACUAAUCUAAAC
Molecule: ribosomal RNA, 508 nt
Filed under: uncultured bacterium
Lineage: Bacteria
Description: partial 16S ribosomal RNA
Rfam family: Bacterial small subunit ribosomal RNA
Source: RNAcentral